UUGGAACUAAAUGAUCUUUAAAGUCCCUUCCAAACCAAACCAUUCUAUGAGUCCAUGAAAGUCAAAGUAAACACAUCCAGCAAAACUGGAAAAAAAGGUAAGAAGGAAACUGAUUUGAUUUCCCUAGGUCAGACCAAGGAAGACCCAGGUGAAAGCUAUGAUUGAUGAUGCACCUCUCCUCAGCAAAGAUCAGCCCUCACAGGUUCUGUGAGGUUCUGUGAUUGCAUUUGUAGUUCUGCCCUGGCCCAAAUGCAAUCAUUGAACCUAACCGCCAGGCCCCAGGGGAGGCACUUCUCUACCUAAGGACACCUUCACAGAAUAUGUGUACUACUUCUCUUUCUCCUUUUGGACCUGCUUUUGGAGAGGGUUCGCCUCUCUGUGUGCUCUCCUGCAGUCUGGCCUUUGAAAUCAGGCUACAGCACAGCCAUUUUAGGGCUGCAGCUCGUGCUGCCUCACUGCCUUCCUCCAGCUGAACUGAGUGUUAUCUGCACAUGGUCCACCCACACUUCCUGGCAUGCUUGGCAAUGCUUACAGUCAAAGGUGACUGGAGAGCCCAAGUCCCUCUGAGAUAGAAAUACUGCGUAGAAGGCCAGAGGAAUAAGGAAGUGCAGGCACUGUCAAGGCACUGUCAUGUUAUGUACAUUGCUUAUUUCUCACAAACACAGAAGGUUUUAACAGGACAGUGUGGAAAGGAUGGAGUUUACUCUUGCUGUGUGUAAAUCUUGAAGACUGAUUCUCUUGGCAGAGGUGGUAAUGAGCCAGUUGCAGCUCUGUGCAGAGCAGGUGAUAACAAUGAGGAUUGUUCAGGAAGAAUGGGUGGGACCUUCUGCCUGCCUCAGCUUGUAUGAUAUAUGUCCUAUACUAUUAUAUCACCUAAAGGCUU
Molecule: non-coding RNA, 883 nt
Organism: Cyanistes caeruleus (blue tit)
Lineage: Eukaryota; Metazoa; Chordata; Aves; Passeriformes; Paridae
Source: RefSeq, a predicted model, not a curated record